This 554-nucleotide ribosomal RNA is filed under the name uncultured marine bacterium. RNAcentral's name for it is "bacterial SSU rRNA". It matches the Rfam family "Bacterial small subunit ribosomal RNA", at positions 98 to 687 of the family's 1533-position model. The record is from RNAcentral.
GGCAACGGGUGAGUAUAAUGUGGGAAUCUGCCUUUUGGUUUGGAAUAACACGGGGAAACUUGUGCUAAUACCGAAUAAGCCCUUACGGGGAAAGUUUUAAUGCCGAAAGAUGAGCCUGCACUUGAUUAGCUAGUUGGUAAGGUAAAAGCUUACCAAGGCAACGAUCAAUAGCUGUUCUUAGAGGAAGACCAGCCACAUUGGGACUGAGACACGGCCCAGACUCCUACGGGAGGCAGCAGUGGGGAAUCUUGCACAAUGGGGGAAACCCUGAUGCAGCGAUGCCGCGUGAGUGAAGAAGGCCUUUGGGUUGUAAAACUCUUUCGUCGGGGAAGAAAAUGACUGUACCCGAAUAAGAAGGUCCGGCUAACUUCGUGCCAGCAGCCGCGGUAAUACGAAGGGACCUAGCGUAGUUCGGAAUUACUGGGCUUAAAGAGCUAGUAGGUGGUUAAAAAAGUUGAUGGUGAAAUCCCAAGGCUCAACCUUGGAACUGCCAUCAAAACUUUUUAGCUAGAGUGUGAUAGAGGUAAGUGGAAUUUCUAGUGUAGAGGUGAAAU